This 381-nucleotide ribosomal RNA is filed under the name Spirotrichea sp. RNAcentral describes it as "partial small subunit ribosomal RNA". It matches the Rfam family "Eukaryotic small subunit ribosomal RNA", at positions 582 to 975 of the family's 1831-position model. Lineage: Eukaryota; Ciliophora; Spirotrichea. The record is from RNAcentral.
AUUCCAGCUCCAAUAGCGUAUAUUAAAGUUGUUGCAGUUAAAAAGCUCGUAGUUGGAUUUCUGGGAGGGUGCCAAUGUCCGCCGAGUGCGUGCGCAGCGGCGCCCUUCCAUCCUUCUGUUAACGCCUCUUGGCAUUCAUUUGCUGGUGGCGGGCUCAGAUAUUUUACCUUGAGAAAAUUAGAGUGUUUCAGGCAGGCUAGGCCGGAAUACAUUAGCAUGGAAUAAUGGAAUAGGACUACGGUCUCUUUGUUGGUUUGAGGGACUGCAGUAAUGAUUAAUAGGGAUAGUUGGGGGCAUUAGUAUUUAAUUGUCAGAGGUGGAAUUCUCGGAUUUGUUAAAGACUAACUUAUGCGAAAGCAUUUGCCAAGGAUGUUUUCAUUA